UUGUUUACAAUAAUUCACGAAUCUUGGGGGAAAAAAGUCAUGGUCGCAGAGGUUAGAAAAUCUAGUAUUUCUUCUGAUAAUUUGAAUUUAUGAUUUAUAUGUUUAAUUUUCGUCUUCUGAAAAGUCACCAGUCGCACACUGAGGACCAUAAAGGCUUCUGCUUCUGUGGUUUGUGGCUUCAAGUGUCAGUAGUUUGCAGCAAUAGUAUGUGGGUUUUAGGCUGAUGAUGCUGAAUAGUGGACAGUUCUCUCACCUUCCUGGCCCCACUGCCCGCCCGUCCAUACACUGUGGGUCACAGCUGAGCUCUCCAGACGUCUCCCAGGAUCUCAGCUUCUGAACUGUCAGGUGUCGUCUAGGUGAAGGCUUGGUCUGAUAGCCUUUGUGGCUUUCUCCAAGAAGGUUGGGUUUUUGACGUAACCCAGUAUUUGUGUGACACGCGUGUGAAUGUGCUCCCUGUGGCAGCGCUGAAGAAGGACUCGGUCAUAGCAGAUGCCGAAAGGCAAAUGCAGUGUGCGUUGUUCCAUCUCCAGUCUUGCAUUAUUCUUACCCAUCAGCCCAUUUGAAAAAGAAGAAGAAAAGCCUCCUGUUAGAAUUAAACGCCCUCUGGAGAUAAUGGGUACUUUUUUUUCCUAUUUAUUUAUUUAUUUAUUUAUUUAUUUUUAAUUUUUUAUUGCAUUUUAGGUUUGGGGGUACAUGUGCAGAACAUGCAAGACAGUUGCAUAUGUACACACGGCAGUGUGCUUUUUAAAUCUUUCAGUAUUUUCAGUCACAUUUGCUCCCAGUGCCGCCAGGAUCCACUAGGGGGCAGAGACGCCGCGUGUGUUUGUGGGGCCCUCGCUGAGCGGGAAGGAAAACAGGCGGCCCCGCCUCCAGCGGCGGCGAGAAGGAAACCUCGGGCUCCGCGUCCGCGGCGCUCGCACACAGGAAGCAUCCGCCAGUUUUCUCAGUUAAAGACACAGAAACGAAACGUGUCUUCACUGCUUUUUGAAUUUACCGCGUUAUCUAGUUUUUUAACUUAAUUGAACGAAUAAACUCCCUAUGUAUCUUGACACAUAUUUCAAACCAAAAUAGAGUAUUUCGCCAAAAGAUAAUUUUUUGAUUAGUGAAUUUCACUUUUUUUCCUUUUAGCGAUUUUAAUGUAAUGAAAUUGACUUCUCAUGCCUCUAAAAGGCUUUUUUAAGAGCAUGUUAUUUCUCCAUUUUGAAAAAAAAAAUGGCAAAAUAUCUUCACUGUAGAUAGAAGUUAAUUGGCUGAGGGUAAUAAACAGAUUUCAAAACGACCUUUAACCCCUGACACUCCGCCAAAGGCUGCAGUGAGUUGCACGCCCCGUGGUGGGUUCGCACCCACGUGCUGGGAGCCGCGUCUGCAGGCCACGCCUCCCGCCCCUAGAAAAAGGGCCCGUGAGAAAGAGCCCCGUCGGGCUCCCAGAACGUGGGAAACGCUCAGCCCUACGAAGCACCAGCGUCCAAAUCCUCGCAGCGCGCAGCUCUGGCAUCGGGUUCCCGUGAGGACAGACCCGAGACGAUUUCCGGACGGAGGCCGCUGCCGGAGGAGGGACGAUGUGAACGCGGACGCUCGUGCUGCCCCCACGCGGCGGGGCCGGUGACACGGAUCCCACCCGCCGUCCCGCUGGGAGAUGCACGGAUUCACCCCAGCUGGGUGCGCUCUGCGUGUCCCCUGUCACGGGGCUCCUCAGCUUCCCUCGGUUUUUCCUUUUUAACACUCUCUGGUGUUUUCCUCUCCAGUGGGGGCCGCAUCUCACCUUAGAAGAAAACAUUUUCCAACUGGGGGCUGUCUCGGUGGCGGGUCCAGGGAAGGUCUCCGCUCUCUGGAGUGAGGCCCAGCCCAGUAACUCCAGCCAGGUCUUCCUGAGUGGGGCUGGAUCUGCCCCGUUCUCCUCCCAUCCUCGUGCUGACCGUGGAAAUCCAUCUAUGCCCUAUGCAGAGUCCUGCGCCUCAGGCUGUGAAACGGCAGAAGCCGAAUUUAAAACAGAUGAUUACACUCACUCUAGGAGGCAAAGAAGAUUCUGACGUAGACACUUGGCUGGCUGAGAGCCAGAGAAAAAGCUGCUGGGAAUUGACAGGCAUCAGGCGACCUCAGUUCCAACAUUUCCGGGUAAACGAUGACACAAGAUGAGCUGGUGGCAGGAGUCCCUGGAAAUUCUCACAAUCUCAGCUUCUAACUUCUAUAAAGUAUUAUGUCAUUUGUGAUCUCUUUAACGAAUCAUUUUUUUUCUAAUUAUAAAAGUGUAUAUUCUCCUUGGAGGGUCUUUGGUAAAUAUUUUAUAAAAUGAAUUAUUAAAGAAAGAAAAAUUAUUCAUAA
Callithrix jacchus (white-tufted-ear marmoset) is the source of this 2322-nucleotide non-coding RNA. The record is from RefSeq and is a predicted model, not a curated record. Lineage: Eukaryota; Metazoa; Chordata; Mammalia; Primates; Cebidae.